This 440-nucleotide ribosomal RNA is filed under the name uncultured bacterium. RNAcentral describes it as "partial 16S ribosomal RNA". It matches the Rfam family "Bacterial small subunit ribosomal RNA", at positions 338 to 795 of the family's 1533-position model. The record is from RNAcentral.
CCUACGGGAGGCAGCAGUGGGGAAUAUUGCACAAUGGAGGGAACUCUGAUGCAGCGACGCCGCGUGAGUGAAGAAGUAAUUCGUUAUGUUAAGCUCUAUCAGCAGGGAAGAAAGUGACGGUACCUGAAAAAGAAGCUCCGGCUAAAUACGUGCCAGCAGCCGCGGUAAAACGUAUGGAGCAAGCGUUAUCCGGAUUUACUGGGGGUAAAGGGAGAGUAGGUGGCAGAGCAAGUCCGGAGUGAAAACCCAAAGCUCAACUAUGGGAAUGCUUUAGAAACUGCUCAGCUAGAGUGCAGGAGAGGCAUGUGGAAUGCGUGGUGUAGCGGUGAAAUGCGUAGAUAUUAGGAGGAACACCAGUGGCGAAGGCGGCUUGCUGGACUGUAACUGACGCUGAGGCUCGAAAGCCUGGGGAUCGAACAGGAUUAGAUACCCGGGUAGUC